CCUACGGGGGGCAGCAGUAGGGAAUCUUCCGCAAUGGGCGAAAGCCUGACGGAGCAACGCCGCGUGAGUGAUGAAGGUUUUCGGAUCGUAAAGCUCUGUUGCCAGGGAAGAACGUCCGGUAGAGUAACUGCUACCGGAGUGACGGUACCUGAGAAGAAAGCCCCGGCUAACUACGUGCCAGCAGCCGCGGUAAUACGUAGGGGGCAAGCGUUGUCCGGAAUUAUUGGGCGUAAAGCGCGCGCAGGCGGCUAUUUAAGUCUGGUGUUUAAACCUUGGGCUCAACCUGAGGUCGCACUGGAAACUGGGUGGCUUGAGUACAGAAGAGGAAAGUGGAAUUCCACGUGUAGCGGUGAAAUGCGUAGAGAUGUGGAGGAACACCAGUGGCGAAGGCGACUUUCUGGGCUGUAACUGACGCUGAGGCGCGAAAGCGUGGGGAGCAAACAGGAUUAGAUACCCCGGUAGUC
Molecule: ribosomal RNA, 464 nt
Filed under: uncultured Paenibacillus sp.
Lineage: Bacteria; Bacillati; Bacillota; Bacilli; Caryophanales; Paenibacillaceae
Description: bacterial SSU rRNA
Rfam family: Bacterial small subunit ribosomal RNA
Source: RNAcentral